AUGAACGCUGGCGGCGUGCCUAAUACAUGCAAGUCGAACGAACUUCCGUUAAUUGAUUAUGACGUACUUGUACUGAUUGAGAUUUUAACACGAAGUGAGUGGCGAACGGGUGAGUAACACGUGGGUAACCUGCCCAGAAGUAGGGGAUAACACCUGGAAACAGAUGCUAAUACCGUAUAACAGAGAAAACCGCAUGGUUUUCUUUUAAAGAUGGCUCUGCUAUCACUUCUGGAUGGACCCGCGGCGUAUUAGCUAGUUGGUGAGGUAAAGGCUCACCAAGGCAGUGAUACGUAGCCGACCUGAGAGGGUAAUCGGCCACAUUGGGACUGAGACAGAUCCUCUAA
This 344-nucleotide ribosomal RNA is filed under the name Pediococcus pentosaceus. RNAcentral describes it as "bacterial SSU rRNA". It matches the Rfam family "Bacterial small subunit ribosomal RNA", at positions 29 to 335 of the family's 1533-position model. Lineage: Bacteria; Bacillati; Bacillota; Bacilli; Lactobacillales; Lactobacillaceae. The record is from RNAcentral.